RNAcentral lists this long non-coding RNA (1503 nucleotides) under Homo sapiens (human). Its description in RNAcentral is "non-protein coding lnc-ZEB2-14:1". Lineage: Eukaryota; Metazoa; Chordata; Mammalia; Primates; Hominidae. The record is from RNAcentral.
UUGUUGCUACCUCAAUUUCUGAUGCUUUGAGGGAUUAUUAAAGUAUAUGACUCAAUUUGCUAUUGUAUGGAUAAUCCACAUACCACUACCAUGUUUUGUCAGUGUGUUCUUCCAUCUCUUCCCUCAUGACUAACUUAAUUCAAUUCAAUAACUUUUUACAAUGUAAGUCCUAGUCAUUUUCAGCAACUUUUUGCAAUGUAAGUCUAGUCCUUUUAUAGAACUUGGGAUACUCAUGACCCUUUCCUGCUGCUUAUGGGUAGGUUUCACCUGCUCUGUUUUGUUUACAUUUUUUUUGUGUGUGUUUGUUAUGUUUUAUUUAGUGGCUGUUAUUCAGCAUUAGCACUGUGGAAGAGGGCUGUUAUGAUCAAUAACAAUCAGCUAUUCAUAUCAUUAUAUGUAAUCUUUGAGUACUUGACUCUGAUUGAAAACCUGUUUCUCUUCAUGCUUGUAAGUAUUUCUUUUAUAUGUCCUGAAUGUGCGGGUUGGGUUGAGGGUGCAUUACUUCUAACUGUAGGUAGAUGAUUAAUAUGCAGGUAAGCGUUAAUGUGUUAAUAGAUUUUUUGUGUGUGUUCUAAAAAGAGAGAGUAUGUCUUAGAUGUAUUUGUCAGAAAAAAAGUUAGUAUAAGAUUUUACAGUUUAGCACAAAUAAUAUACCCAGAGCUAACUUGUGUCGGGUUCAAAAAGCCUUCUAGUUAUUACCAAAAAGAUUACAUUAGAAUUUUGACCCUUCAAAAAUAUAGUCCUUAGGUGAUAGAGCCUUUCUCCUCCCAGUUGAUGAAGUAUCACUCCACGAAACAUGCCUUUGGGGUCUAGUUGUGUGGCCUGUAUUAAUGAAGUACAGUAAACCCCCACUUAACAUUAUCAGUAGGUUCUUGGAAACUGUGACUUUAAGUGAAACAACAUACAGCUGGUCCUCAAAUAAUACCAUUUUAUUCAAUGUUGUUUUGUUUUAAAGUUGAUGAGGGAAAAAAAUGAUUUUGUGUAUUGUUUCACUUAAAAUUGUACUUUCCAAGAACCUAUUGAAGCCGUUAAGUGAGGACUUAGUGUAUGACUGUAUGCAUCCCCUCAAAUACAUACUGUGAUUGGUUUUUCUGCCUUAAGUAAAAGCCAGUCAAACCACAAUCAUAACCAGGUUGGUAAAAUAUAGCUCAUAGCAGUGGUUUUUCUAUGUUAAGUGGACAUCAUAAUCACCUGGAGAGCUUUAAAAAGUCCUGAUCUCUGAGUCUGUUAAGUCAGAAUAUCUGGGGUUGGAACCAGGUGUUUGUUUGUUUGUUUCUUGUUGUUAUUGUUUUUUUUUUUAAGUUCACAAGUUAUUCUACUGUGAAACCAAGGUUGAGAGCCACUGACUGAAAGCAGUUCUACCAAAUUACAAACUGUGGAAGGUCCACAUACCUUCAGUAGCCUCUCUUGGUUGCAUCAUGACACCAUUUUCAGUAUUGCCAAAAUUAUAUUCCUGUCUGCAAGUGUCCUCAGGCAAUCUAUAGUAAAAAAUUAUGUCUCCAA